AUGAGAUUCACCUUUCCUGAUGGGCAGUUUAGAUUUUUUACCCCGGGUUCCAUAGUCUGGACUCUGGGACUUAGAAAUUCUGGGUGCCGUGUGAGUAUGCUUAAGCUGUCGCCCAAGAUAAGGAAAGAGUACGGUGAAACUAUUAGGUGUACCAUAGGAAUAGAGUCCAGGAGGCAUGCCAGGGAUGGAGGGUUAAGCAUUCGUGCUGUUAAUGAAGCUAUUACUAUGAUGAAGUCGUUAAAUCUUGACAGCAGGCAGACCAGGGCCUUUGAGAUGGCAUUUUCCCUGCUGGCUGCUGGUACAUAUGUCGGCCCUAAGCAAUCGUACACUUCAAUACCAUGGGAAAUGUUGGCAUGUGUCCUUGAUGAGAAUGGCACUGGUGAGUACGACCUAGCAGAGUGGGUGUUUCUAAUUAUCAGAGCAGCUGCUAAGAAACUUCAGGAAGAUUUGGAUGCUGGCGUCAGGUCGCUCAUAGUUGGAGGCUGCCACUUGGCUCUUAUUCCAUGGUUCUUCAACUGGAUCGACUUUGGACAUCACAGUGUUGAACCCCAUACACUCCCGCGCAUCAGUGUUUACACAACCCAGAUAUGUAGGAGGUUGAACUACCUGACAAGGGAGUAUCCAAAUAUAUUCAGAACAAGGCCAUCAGAUUAUUUCAUUACGUUGGACGAGAUAUGGCAUGAUGUAGUUGGUGGGCCUGGAGGCAUCCUACAUCCAGCAGGGCCACGCAGCUUCAACAGGCUUAGGAGAAGACUCAUACUUAAAGGCAAUGACGAGGGGGGCACUGGGACAAGCAACCCCUUCGCACGACUACGAACAGCAGGAAGGGCGACGUGGAUGCGCAGCAAAGGUGAACAUUUGAGAGCAGAACUUGAUGAAAUUGAGGCACAAGCAAGAGCUGACCUGGAGUAUGGUAGGGAUCAUGGGAUAUUGAGGAACAGGAAUGCACCAGCUCUUGGAGCUGGCAUUGCGGGCUCGGAUGACAACGAGAGAGAGGAGCGUGUUCGCAGCUUAGCAGCGGCUGCCCUUGCUGUGGUAGAACAAGCCAUGCAAAAUCCUGAACUGUUUGGAGACAUAUUCGACCAGGCACCUGCGAUGAUAGCAAAACUAAGAGUUGAGAACUCCAGUGGAGCUCCAGCGCCUCUGGAAGUGGAAAAUGGACCUGGUGCAGCUCAUGGAAAUUCUGGUAAGGGCGUCAACGGGGGUGGGCUAGAGAAUGAUAUCCAAGAUGCAGCACUAGACGGACAAACUCAGCAACUUGGUGAUGGUUCAGGUGGUAGUGAUGACUGGAGUACAUCAUCUGAAGAUGUUUCGAGCUAUAGCAGUGAACGAAGCGUUGCUACAGCGUCCAGUGUAUCUGGUACCCAAAUCCUCAGUGACAAUGUAUUUGCAGGGAACCUCGAUUCUCUGUAUAGAGAGGAAGUUAUAGGGGAUGAAUUUCUGGACGUGGCCUCAAAAGUGUCGGUUGACUACAACGGAGAAGAUGAUGACGAAAUAGGCUUGGAUGCUGAUUUCUUAAAAGUGGCUACACAAGUGCCAACGGAUUACACAAAUGAGCAAACUACAGGAACUGUGGGGAAAAGUUUAGUUGACAUGGAUAACAUUAAUGCUUUACUUUCCACAAUAAACACAUGCAUUCGUUGGAUUGCAUGGAUACGAGCGAUGAUGGUCGUGCGGAGCGGGCGUCCAGGAGACGAUGAUGACGAGGACCCACCUUGCAACGGUCCCAUCUUGUUGGGCUGGCAUGGUGAAGAACAAGUGGAGACAGGGGGAUCUGCCAGAGAAGAGGCUCUAUUACGUAGACAACAGCAGUCCCGACCUCGGGCCCUGGAUGUGCAGAGAAACUGCCGACCUGGUCCGUCCUUCCGCCGCGACAACGAAGGUACUUGCUAG
This 1893-nucleotide ribosomal RNA is filed under the name Triticum aestivum (bread wheat). Its description in RNAcentral is "partial small subunit ribosomal RNA". Lineage: Eukaryota; Viridiplantae; Streptophyta; Magnoliopsida; Poales; Poaceae. The record is from RNAcentral.